This 253-nucleotide ribosomal RNA is filed under the name uncultured bacterium. Its description in RNAcentral is "partial 16S ribosomal RNA". It matches the Rfam family "Bacterial small subunit ribosomal RNA", at positions 524 to 776 of the family's 1533-position model. The record is from RNAcentral.
UACGUAGGUGGCAAGUGUUGUCCGGAAUUAUUGGGCGUAAAGCGCGCGCAGGCGGUCCUUUAAGUCUGAUGUGAAAGCCCACGGCUCAACCGUGGAGGGUCAUUGGAAACUGGGGGACUUGAGUGCAGGAGAGAAGAGUGGAAUUCCACGUGUAGCGGUGAAAUGCGUAGAGAUGUGGAGGAACACCAGUGGCGAAGGCGGCUCUCUGGAUCGGCCCUGACGCUAAUGCGCGAAAGCGUGGGGAGCAAACAGG